CUGGGUGAAAGAGUGAGAUCCCUCUGGCACGUUUGUUAAGUUUUCUCCUGACUCUGUCACAUAUAUUAUAUCGGAGAUGGCAAAGGCUUGAUAACAAAGAGAUCUCUCUUAAGCCUUUCCUGCAUCAGAGAUUGGCUCCCACAUGU
This 146-nucleotide small nucleolar RNA is filed under the name Propithecus coquereli (Coquerel's sifaka). RNAcentral's name for it is "Small nucleolar RNA SNORA12 (ENSPCOG00000003940.1)". It matches the Rfam family "Small nucleolar RNA SNORA12". From Rfam's summary of the family: U108 belongs to the H/ACA family of snoRNAs. The record is from Rfam by way of RNAcentral. Lineage: Eukaryota; Metazoa; Chordata; Mammalia; Primates; Indriidae.